CCAAAACCUCGGCUACCCAUAAUAACAGCGCUAAGCCCUAGCCGCUCCACCUCCAGACAUAGCCUUUCCCUCAUAUCGUGAUCCUUAACGAUGUGGAUUUUGAACGGAAUCUGAGCAUCAACUAACGGCUGAGAUAUGUCCGAGGCUUUAGUAGUAGUAAACGUGUCGAAAUCAUUCUCCAGUUUUCUUUGAGACUCUUCGUUUUCGGUAUCGACAAUGGAGAGAUCGACGGAGCCCCAAUCGGCGCCGUAGAGGACGGAAGUGGGACGGACGUGGACAAGGAUGACGGCGUCACCUGGACGGAGGUACUGAUGGACGGCCCACUUAACGGCGAAAGCGGAUUCGUCGCUUAGAUCGACGGCGAUGCCGAUCUUGCGUUGAGCACCGGCGGUAGGGGUAUCGGUGGUGGAAGGAGUGGUAGGAGGUGGGAAACGGGGGGAAGAGGAUUUGAUUUUGAUGUUAGCGAGGCGGGGGAGAUCGGAAUCGGAGGUGGGGGUUGGUUGUUGCUGCAUUUCUUUUGGGGAAAGUUUGGGG
RNAcentral lists this long non-coding RNA (534 nucleotides) under Nicotiana tabacum (common tobacco). RNAcentral describes it as "long non-coding RNA (NTAB_LNC001058)". The record is from RNAcentral. Lineage: Eukaryota; Viridiplantae; Streptophyta; Magnoliopsida; Solanales; Solanaceae.